Molecule: ribosomal RNA, 303 nt
Filed under: Staphylococcus aureus
Lineage: Bacteria; Bacillati; Bacillota; Bacilli; Caryophanales; Staphylococcaceae
Also listed under: 1 other name
Description: partial 16S ribosomal RNA
Rfam family: Bacterial small subunit ribosomal RNA
Source: RNAcentral
UUUUAUGGAGAGUUUGAUCCUGGCUCAGGAUGAACGCUGGCGGCGUGCCUAAUACAUGCAAGUCGAGCGAACGGACGAGAAGCUUGCUUCUCUGAUGUUAGCGGCGGACGGGUGAGUAACACGUGGAUAACCUACCUAUAAGACUGGGAUAACUUCGGGAAACCGGAGCUAAUACCGGAUAAUAUUUUGAACCGCAUGGUUCAAAAGUGAAAGACGGUCUUGCUGUCACUUAUAGAUGGAUCCGCGCUGCAUUAGCUAGUUGGUAAGGUAACGGCUUACCAAGGCAACGAUGCAUAGCCGACC